GCCGGUGUAGCUCAGCCUGGUAGAGCACCAGACUCAUAAUCUGGGCGUCGACAGUUCAAAUCUGUCCACCGGCA
RNAcentral lists this transfer RNA (74 nucleotides) under Candidatus Iainarchaeum sp. RNAcentral describes it as "tRNA-Met". It matches the Rfam family "tRNA". Rfam says of the family: Transfer RNA (tRNA) molecules are approximately 80 nucleotides in length. Their secondary structure includes four short double-helical elements and three loops (D, anti-codon, and T loops). The record is from RNAcentral. Lineage: Archaea; Nanobdellati; Candidatus Iainarchaeota; Candidatus Iainarchaeia; Candidatus Iainarchaeales; Candidatus Iainarchaeaceae.